UACGGGGGGGGCAAGCGUUGUUCGGAAUUACUGGGCGUAAAGGGCUCGUAGGCGGCCAAUUAAGUCACACGUGAAAUCCCUCGGCUCAACCGGGGAACUGCGUGUGAGACUGGAUGGCUUGAGUGUGGGAGAGGAAUGCGGAAUUCCAGGUGUAGCGGUGAAAUGCGUAGAUAUCUGGAGGAACACCGGUGGCGAAGGCGGCAUUCUGGACCAUUACUGACGCUGAGGAGCGAAAGCCAGGGGAGCAAACGGG
This 253-nucleotide ribosomal RNA is filed under the name Acidobacterium sp. RNAcentral describes it as "partial 16S ribosomal RNA". It matches the Rfam family "Bacterial small subunit ribosomal RNA", at positions 524 to 776 of the family's 1533-position model. Lineage: Bacteria; Pseudomonadati; Acidobacteriota; Terriglobia; Terriglobales; Acidobacteriaceae. The record is from RNAcentral. RNAcentral also lists the same sequence under 1 other name.